Molecule: transfer RNA, 85 nt
Filed under: Felis catus (domestic cat)
Lineage: Eukaryota; Metazoa; Chordata; Mammalia; Carnivora; Felidae
Also listed under: 2 other names
Rfam family: tRNA
About the family: Transfer RNA (tRNA) molecules are approximately 80 nucleotides in length. Their secondary structure includes four short double-helical elements and three loops (D, anti-codon, and T loops).
Source: Rfam by way of RNAcentral
GCCUGGGUGGCUCAGUCGGUUGAGCAUCUGACUUCAGCUCAGGUCAUGAUCUCACAGUUCAUGAGUUCAAGCCCCACAUCAGGCU